Molecule: RNase P RNA, 271 nt
Filed under: Pseudomonadales bacterium
Lineage: Bacteria; Pseudomonadati; Pseudomonadota; Gammaproteobacteria; Pseudomonadales
Description: partial RNase P RNA component class A
Rfam family: Bacterial RNase P class A
About the family: Ribonuclease P (RNase P) is a ubiquitous endoribonuclease, found in archaea, bacteria and eukarya as well as chloroplasts and mitochondria. Its best characterised activity is the generation of mature 5'-ends of tRNAs by cleaving the 5'-leader elements of precursor-tRNAs.
Source: RNAcentral
AGUGCAACAGAGAGCAGACCGCCAGAUGAACGCCUGUCGUUCGUCUGGUAAGGGUGAAAGGGUGCGGUAAGAGCGCACCGCGCAACUGGCAACAGUUGUGGCAUGGCAAACCCCACCCGGAGCAAGGCCAAAUAGGAAUCCACCAGAUGGGGUCCGCAUCGGAUUCGGGUAGGCUGCUGGAGGUGUCCGGUGACGGACAUCCUAGAUGAAUGACUGUCGCUGCCGGCCUGGCCGGUGGUUACAGAACCCGGCUUAUCGGCCAGCUCAUUUC